GGGUAGGUGGCCGAGUUGGUCGAAGGCGCCUGACUGUAAAUCAGGUACGGGGAAACAUCGGUGGUUCGAAUCCAUCCCUGCCCACCA
Molecule: transfer RNA, 87 nt
Filed under: Peptococcaceae bacterium
Lineage: Bacteria; Bacillati; Bacillota; Clostridia; Eubacteriales; Peptococcaceae
Description: tRNA-Tyr
Rfam family: tRNA
About the family: Transfer RNA (tRNA) molecules are approximately 80 nucleotides in length.
Source: RNAcentral